This 440-nucleotide ribosomal RNA is filed under the name uncultured bacterium. Its description in RNAcentral is "partial 16S ribosomal RNA". It matches the Rfam family "Bacterial small subunit ribosomal RNA", at positions 338 to 795 of the family's 1533-position model. The record is from RNAcentral.
CCUACGGGUGGCAGCAGUGGGGAAUAUUGCACAAUGGGGGAAACCCUGAUGUAGCGACGCCGCGUGAGUGAAGAAGUAAUUCGUUAUGUAAAGCUCUAUCAGCAGGGAAGAAAAUGACGGUACCUGAGCAAGAAGCCCCGGCCAACUACGUGCCAGCAGCGGCGGUAAUACGGAGGGGGCAAGCGUUAUCCGGAUUUACUGGGUGUUAAGGGAGCGUAGACGGGUGUGCAAGUCUGGAGUGAAAGGCGGGGGCUCAACCUCCGGACUGCUCUGGAAACUGGACGGCUGGAGUGCAGGAGAGGUAAGUGGAAUUCCUGGUGUAGCGGUGAAAUGCGUAGAUAUUAGGAGGAACACCAGUGGCGAAGGCGGCUUACUGGACUGUAACUGACGUUGAGGCUCGAAAGCGUGGGGAGCAAACAGGAUUAGAUACCCGGGUAGUC